CUCCUUGGGUGGCGAGUGGCGGACCGGUGAUGAAUACAUCGGAAUCUACUCUGUCGUGGGGGAUAACGUAGGGAAACUUACGCUAAUACCGCAUACGACCUACGGGUGAAAGCAGGGGAUCUUCGGACCUUGCGCGAUUGAAUGAGCCGAUGUCGGAUUAGCUAGUUGGCGGGGUAAAGGCCCACCAAGGCGACGAUCCGUAGCUGGUCUGAGAGGAUGAUCAGCCACACUGGAACUGAGACACGGUCCAGACUCCUACGGGAGGCAGCAGUGGGGAAUAUUGGACAAUGGGCGCAAGCCUGAUCCAGCCAUACCGCGUGGGUGAAGAAGGCCUUCGGGUUGUAAAGCCCUUUUGUUGGGAAAGAAAUCCAUCUGGUUAAUACCCGGGUGGGAUGACGGUACCCAAAGAAUAAGCACCGGCUAACUUCGUGCCAGCAGCCGCGGUAAUACGAAGGGUGCAAGCGUUACUCGGAAUUACUGGGCGUAAAGCGUGCGUAGGUGGUCGUUUAAGUCCGUUGUGAAAGCCCUGGGCUCAACCUGGGAACUGCAGUGGAUACUGGGCGACUAGAAUGUGGUAGAGGGUA
This 584-nucleotide ribosomal RNA is filed under the name Pseudomonas sp. SF90. Its description in RNAcentral is "bacterial SSU rRNA". It matches the Rfam family "Bacterial small subunit ribosomal RNA", at positions 80 to 660 of the family's 1533-position model. The record is from RNAcentral. Lineage: Bacteria; Pseudomonadati; Pseudomonadota; Gammaproteobacteria; Pseudomonadales; Pseudomonadaceae.